GUUACAUCCGUCUACCUUGACGCAUGUCCAUUGUGCGUGUGCUAACUUUAUCUCAUGCUGCACAGAUAGACUACUACUGUGUUUUUACCAUUUUUCUUUCACCUCAUAUUUGGUCUCAAAUGCUGAUACUAUGUGGGAAUGAAUAAAGGUGAGGCAAAGACAUUGAUGCUGCAGGCCUGAUGGAUGGAUAACGCCGCUUCUGUUCCAAAGAGCAAAUGCACAUGUGGAGGGCCCACAGACUGGCCAUGUUCAACCACACAACUAUUACGGCGGGGCAUCGUGUUGAGUUGGUGACGACCCUGGGAUGCAGAGACAGGUUUCCAAGUGCAGGAACACCAUGCUCCUGCACUUGAAGAGCUACAUGACAUCAAAGCAUUUUGUGUUGGUAAGACUUUCCUUUCCUCCUCUUAAAACUUGGAAGCAUUUUCAGUCAGGCGCCUCAAUGUAGAUGUUGUCAGCACAUGGGCAAAUAUGAUCACACCGGCUUUUACAGCGACAUAAUGCACUUUUUUGCAUGAUGUCACGUUAUUUCUGUCACACGUGCAUCCCCACGGUUCACUUAAGCCUUAUUAAGGCUGAUAUUUCUACAUUCUGUGACACCUGGUGACUUGACCUAAAGCAGCUGAGUCUGUUUGAGCUUAAUGAGGAACCAGGGCCUGCCUUGUGGUCACAUGAUCGUGUUCCCACAUGACAUGACUGUUGUUCAGGAUCAUUUGAUUGCGCCUGAAGGUCAAAGGUGCUCUCAGGCAACAUAAUGUAUUGACCUGCAUGUAAGACGACUGUCAAGUCCCGUUUUCGGCAAAAACAAUAAAUCACUGUAUGUGAGUGAUAUGAAGAAAAGCAUUCAAAAUUCUCAACAGCCUCACUAUAACACAACACAUAAUAUUUUCCCAGGAAAAAUACUGUCGUAAAUUUGGGUCAAAACCAUGCAAUAUCAAUCUGCCAUUGUUCAUGUUUGGU
Long non-coding RNA from Dunckerocampus dactyliophorus (ringed pipefish), 960 nucleotides. RefSeq lists it as uncharacterized. The transcript is spliced from 4 exons. NCBI's taxonomy places the organism in Eukaryota, Metazoa, Chordata, Actinopteri, Syngnathiformes, Syngnathidae. The record is from RefSeq and is a predicted model, not a curated record.